UACGUAGGGUGCAAGCGUUGUCCGGAAUUAUUGGGCGUAAAGAGCUCGUAGGCGGUUUGUCGCGUCUGCUGUGAAAACUCGGGGCUUAACUCCGGGCCUGCAGUGGGUACGGGCAGACUAGAGUGCGGUAGGGGGAGACUGGAAUUCCUGGUGUAGCGGUGGAAUGCGCAGAUAUCAGGAGGAACACCGGUGGCGAAGGCGGGUCUCUGGGCAGUAACUGACGCUGAGGAGCGAAAGCGUGGGGAGCGAACAGG
This 254-nucleotide ribosomal RNA is filed under the name uncultured bacterium. RNAcentral describes it as "partial 16S ribosomal RNA". It matches the Rfam family "Bacterial small subunit ribosomal RNA", at positions 524 to 776 of the family's 1533-position model. The record is from RNAcentral.